This 782-nucleotide small RNA is filed under the name Arabidopsis thaliana (thale cress). Its description in RNAcentral is "ATSL004730". Lineage: Eukaryota; Viridiplantae; Streptophyta; Magnoliopsida; Brassicales; Brassicaceae. The record is from RNAcentral.
ACAGUUACGCCCUUCGGAAGCUUCUCGAUUCUCAAAGACAAACACUUGUUGGGCUCCUCUUCUUCUUCCUCCGAUCCGAUACAUGUCUCUUCCGGAGAUUUCUUCGAAGAUAUUAGGGUAGUGAGAAAGCUCGAAGCUUGGAAGUUAGUUUGAUUCAACGCAGGUGAGGCCACGCAAGUUGUUCGACGAAUUGCCUGAACGAAAUAUUCUCGUUGCCUCAUGAGAGCAAUAAUGGAUCUCAUCUCUUCUUCUUUUUUGGGACCUUACUGGCCCGUAACCUUUUAACAUUAACAUAUAAGGCCCGAUAAGAAUAUGGUUGACUUCUUCUCAUAUGAAUAUUUACUUAAAUUGUUUAUGAUUAAUUUAGCUGAUUGAACUUAAAUCCUAAAUAAAAAACGGAGGAGACAUAUACAAAUCUUAGUAGUCACAAAAGUCAAUGUCACAUAAAUAUUUUUUUUACGUUACAUAUGAAAACAUUACACAAUCACACCAUUACCAUACAUAGGAAAAUACAAAGCUGGGAAAAGUCAAAGCUUAAGAGAGUUGAUACGCAACACAACGGUCACGUCUUUAUUCCAACAACACACACACAUCUCUUAGCAUAAAACACAUAUUUUCCCCAAUUUUUCUGCCAUAUAUAUGAUUUUAGACCAUAAUAAUUUCAUCAACAGUUACAGUUUGACCCACAGCUGCAGUUUGAUCCACAGCUACAGUUGUCGCACUCCUUGUUGUAGUUCUUCUCGCAACUUUACCACACACAAAUUAAUCAAACAAACAAAAAA